Molecule: ribosomal RNA, 517 nt
Filed under: uncultured Acidobacteriota bacterium
Lineage: Bacteria; Pseudomonadati; Acidobacteriota
Description: bacterial SSU rRNA
Rfam family: Bacterial small subunit ribosomal RNA
Source: RNAcentral
UGGGGAAUUGUUCGCAAUGGGCGCAAGCCUGACGACGCAACGCCGCGUGGAGGAUGAAGGUCUUCGGAUUGUAAACUCCUGUUGCUCGGGACGAAUGGCUCCAACCUAACACGUUGGAGUGUGACGGUACCGAGUGAGGAAGCCCCGGCUAACUCUGUGCCAGCAGCCGCGGUAAUACAGAGGGGGCUAGCGUUGUUCGGAAUUACUGGGCGUAAAGGGCGCGUAGGCGGCCUUCUAAGUCGAACGUGAAAUCCCCGGGCUCAACCCGGGAACUGCGUCCGAUACUGGAGGGCUCGAAUCCGGGAGAGGGAUGUGGAAUUCCAGGUGUAGCGGUGAAAUGCGUAGAUAUCUGGAGGAACACCGGUGGCGAAGGCGGCAUCCUGGACCGGUAUUGACGCUGAGGCGCGAAAGCCAGGGGAGCAAACGGGAUUAGAUACCCCGGUAGUCCUGGCCCUAAACGAUGAAUGCUUGGUGUGGCGGGUAUCGAUCCCUGCCGUGCCGAAGUUAACGCAUUAAG